RNAcentral lists this long non-coding RNA (1343 nucleotides) under Anas platyrhynchos platyrhynchos (common mallard). RNAcentral's name for it is "lncRNA (ENSAPLG00000019007.1)". The record is from RNAcentral. Lineage: Eukaryota; Metazoa; Chordata; Aves; Anseriformes; Anatidae.
CAUCCCAUUCAGAAGGAUCCUCUGGAGUGGAAGACUUCUCAAAGAGAAAAUAGCGGCUCCUCUGGGCGGGCGGUUGCGGCAUUGUGGGACGUGGGCUAUGCUCGGGGACUCCUCGAAGGCCCUGUGCUCCUGCCCUGUCCGUCACUGCCGUGCACCAACACUGAGCGUCCGAGCCAUGGCUGUGCUCUUAUAAGGUGGAGCCCUGGGGUGUCACGAAGUGACGUCACAAUGGGUGCCCACCCAGCCCAGGCACGUGCCACAGUGGCACCCAUUGUGACGUCACUUGGUGACACGCCAGGGCUCCGCCUUAUAAGAGCGCAGCCGUGGCUCGGACCCUCAGUGUCGGUGCACGGCAGCGACGGAUAUGGAAGGAGCACAGGAGCCUCAAGGAGACCCUGAGCGCAGUCCAAGUCCCACAAUGCCGCAACCACCCACCCAGACGAGCCGCCCUUUUAACCUUGCGAGCUCUCCCACUUCAGAGGCUGCUUCUGAAUGGGAUGAGGAGGGAGGCAUGCCCCCCAGGCAGCCCAGGCUGGCCUGGCAGGAGACCUGGUCUUCUAGGGGCAGCAACCAGCCAGCAGAGGACAGCUUGCUGGCAGAGGACAAAACCCCAGUCAAGGCCAUUUUGCCGGUAGAGGACAGCAGCCUGGCAGAGGCCAUUUCUCAGGAAGUGGGCAGCAGCCCGGCACAGGACAGGAGACCGGUAGAGGACAGCUUAGUGGUUGAGGACAGCGGUUCGACACAGGAUAGCAAGAAGAAGUCGCAGCUGCUGGAUUCCAGUAAUAUAUGGAAACUGCGCAGAAACUCGGCUGUGCAAUCUAUCAGGGCAUAUGUCAGACGGAAAGAAAAGGUAAUGGCAGCUACUUGCAUCGCAGCAGUGCUCCUGGAGCUGCCCUCCAGGGGUCCCACACAGCCCCAGACCCCUCAAGGCUUUGGUCCUGAUGGCCGUGGGUGUCCCCCUAAUGCUCUGUUGGUGUCUUUGUGGCUGCCAGGGCAACGAGGAGCAGAAGAUAGUUUUCCUCAUCGAAAUCUGCGAUCUGUGCAGAUGUGUCACCGAGAAGGGUGUGCCGAUGAACUUGCAUGGCUUCUGCAGCAAACAUAAGCUGGUGGAGCACAUCAUGGUGAGAGGAUGUGCAGCGGGUUGGGGAAGGGGCAAGGCCCCCCGGCACCAGCCCCCUGGGAGGCGAGGGCUGGGGCAGCGCUGGCUCUGCUGCUGCUGGGUGCCGGCGGCUCCAAGGUCUCAUCCUGCUUGUGCUCUGCAGGCGCUGAUGGAAAAGGAGCCCGUGGACAGCUUGCGCACAGAAUUCUGGCAGAUCGCCAUGGAGACUGUCGCCCUCCUCAGG